This 253-nucleotide ribosomal RNA is filed under the name uncultured prokaryote. RNAcentral's name for it is "partial 16S ribosomal RNA". It matches the Rfam family "Bacterial small subunit ribosomal RNA", at positions 524 to 776 of the family's 1533-position model. The record is from RNAcentral.
UACAGAGGUGGCAAGCGUUGUUCGGAAUUACUGGGCGUAAAGGGCGCGUAGGCGGUUCGUUAAGUCCUGUGUGAAAUCCCCCGGCUCAACUGGGGAACUGCACAGGAAACUAGCGGGCUUGAGUUCGGGAGAGGUCAGUGGAAUUCCGAGUGUAGAGGUGAAAUUCGUAGAUAUUCGGAAGAACACCAGUGGCGAAGGCGACUGACUGGACAAGUAUUGACGCUGAGGUGCGAAAGCGUGGGGAGCAAACAGG